RNAcentral lists this ribosomal RNA (672 nucleotides) under Rhaphiomidas acton. RNAcentral's name for it is "partial 16S ribosomal RNA". The record is from RNAcentral. Lineage: Eukaryota; Metazoa; Arthropoda; Insecta; Diptera; Mydidae.
AUGUCAACAUGAGCUAAUCUAGGAUUACAAAAUAGCGCCUCCCCACUAAUAGAACAAUUAACUUUUUUUCAUGACCAUACAUUACUAAUUCUAGUAAUAAUUACAAUUCUAGUAGGCUACCUAAUAUUUAUACUCUUCUUCAAUAAUUACACCAACCGCUUUCUACUACAUGGACAAAUUAUUGAAAUAAUCUGAACAAUUUUACCGGCUAUUAUUCUUCUAUUCAUUGCCUUCCCAUCUUUACGGUUACUAUACCUAUUAGAUGAAAUUAGUGAACCAGUCAUUACACUAAAGGCAAUUGGCCACCAAUGAUACUGGAGUUAUGAAUAUUCAGAUUUUAUUGAUUUAGAAUUUGACUCCUACAUAAUCCCAACCAAUGAGCUUCCAACAGAUGGAUUCCGGCUAUUAGAUGUAGACAAUCGGGUGGUCCUCCCUAUAAAUAGACAAGUGCGUAUACUAGUAACUGCUGCCGAUGUAAUUCACUCCUGGACAGUACCUGCUCUCGGUGUAAAAGUAGAUGGAACCCCAGGACGACUAAAUCAAACCAACUUUAUAAUCAGACGCCCUGGACUAUUUUUUGGGCAAUGUUCAGAAAUCUGCGGAGCUAAUCACAGUUUUAUACCAAUUGUAAUUGAAAGUGUAUACACAAAUCAUUUUAUUAAAUGAAUUUCA